Molecule: ribosomal RNA, 497 nt
Filed under: uncultured bacterium
Lineage: Bacteria
Description: partial 16S ribosomal RNA
Rfam family: Bacterial small subunit ribosomal RNA
Source: RNAcentral
GAUGAACGCUGGCGGCGUGCCUAAUACAUGCAAGUCGAGCGAACGGACGAGAAGCUUGCUUCUCUGAUGUUAGCGGCGGACGGGUGAGUAACACGUGGAUAACCUACCUAUAAGACUGGGAUAACUUCGGGAAACCGGAUCUAACACCGGAUAAUAUUUUGAACCGCAUGGUUCAAAAGUGAAAGACGGUCUUGCUGUCACUUAUAGAUGGUUCCGCGCUGCAUUAGCUAGUUGGUAAGGUAACGGCUUACCAAGGCAACGAUGCAUAGCCGACCUGAGAGGGUGAUCGGCCACACUGGAACUGAGACACGGUCCAGACUCCUACGGGAGGCAGCAGUAGGGAAUCUUCCGCAAUGGGCGAAAGCCUGACGGAGCAACGCCGCGUGAGUGAUGAAGGUCUUCGGAUCGUAAAACUCUGUUAUUAGGGAAGAACAUAUGUGUAAGUAACUGUGCACAUCUUGACGGUACCUAAUCAGAAAGCCACGGCUAACUACGUG